GAAUCCCAUCAUGCUUCUCAGAUUUUUCACAAAGGAGGUUUUAGGUCUUUAAGUGCAUUUUUGCUUAAGGUUAAAAGAAAAGUCCAUCAUUCGUUUAAUAAUAAAACUCUUUGAAUAAAAACUUUAAAUGCUGUGCAACAAUGCUGCCUAAAAACUGUUGUAGUCAGAGCAGAACAUGUUUUUUCCUUUGUGCUGGUUAUUCAAUUACAUCUGAGUAGGAAAAGCUUGCAUUUAUGGCACUUUAGCAGAAUGUAAGCCAGUUCAACUUAAAUGCCUUCAAGCAAAUGCUCAGAGCCAUAAGGCAGUUCCAUUAGGACCGCUUCAUUCUUCCACCAGACUCUAUGACUGCCGUGUGCCUGCCCUGAAGGGAAGGCCCGUCUGCCAGGCACACUGGCACAUGCCUGCAAACACCAAUGGAGAGAGGUUGGUGUGUGUGAUUCCUGGACCAGGAUCUGCUUUAAGAGGGCACCUGGGGGAAUGUGGGAGAAAAACCACCAGGCUGACGCCAGAUGCCACCUUUGAAAAUCUCUAGGCCAUAUUACUUUCAAACCAACCUGCUGACUCGGGAUCUGCUUUCACAGCCACUCGAACCAGCUGCCCAAAUUGGCUGUGAGAGUGGUUUCUGCGACCUGGGGAUGCUCAUUGAGGGAUGCAGGAAAGCUGGGAGGCUGAAAUGCAAGUAAAGUCCAUGGAGGGACAGCACUGGGUCACACUGACUAGCAGGCCUCAGCGAUCAAACAUGUCACACCUGUCUUGGCCACUGGUGCAGGUGUUCUAGGUCAGCUCUCACUGUGGUUAUCAAUCGCUGACAGUUGACAGUUUAAUUUUACACCACAAGUACCUCAUUACUUGUGUAGGCACUUGAAGAACAUGUGGGCACUGGAUCGGAUCAGUGAUCAAUGACAAAGGUUGCAUAGGGUGCAAGUGGUAGCAGUAAAAGUGAAGGUCUCCGUGCAUGAGUUGGCAGUGGUAGGGAUACAUGACAAGGGGAGUUUAACUGACAAACAGUCUGUCAGGUUGAAAAGAAUGGAGAUUUGCCAGUGAGCUAGCUGUAGAUUAUAAAAUAUAUCUCUUGAUUUGAGGGAAAGGAAGGGGAAAAAUACCCCACCCCAAGUAGAGACUUCCAUUCUUGAAAGUGCUUACGCAAAUCUAAUGAAUGUGUGGGGCUGUAAAUUUUUAUUCUACCAGCAUUUAUCUCAUGGUGUACAUGCAUUCAGGUGUGUAGGGAUUUAAGAUUAGCAGGAUGCACUGAUGCUAUUUUAUAAAGGUAUGUGUGUGUGUGUGUGUGUGUGUGUGCGCGUAUGCUCAUAUAUCAAACCAAUUCCACCAAACCAGACCUGUGGCUGUUUUAGAUUGUUCCAUGACAGGUUAUUGUGGAUAUUCAAUAAGAAAGUCAGUCCAUAUAAGUCCCUUUCUUCUUGUAUUUCUAUUUUUUUUUGUGUGUGUGUGGCAUUGGGGAUUAAACUGAGGGCCUCAUGCAUGCUAUAUGAGCACUGAGCUACAUACAUCCCUAGCUCUUCUUUACUUUUUUUUUUUUUUAAUUUUGAGACAGG
RNAcentral lists this long non-coding RNA (1553 nucleotides) under Marmota monax (woodchuck). The record is from RNAcentral. Lineage: Eukaryota; Metazoa; Chordata; Mammalia; Rodentia; Sciuridae.